Molecule: ribosomal RNA, 253 nt
Filed under: uncultured bacterium
Lineage: Bacteria
Description: partial 16S ribosomal RNA
Rfam family: Bacterial small subunit ribosomal RNA
Source: RNAcentral
UACGUAGGGUGCAGGCGUUGUCCGGAAUUAUUGGGCGUAAAGAGCUCGUAGGCGGUCUGUUGCGUCGGCUGUGAAAACCCGGGGCUCAACUCCGGGCCUGCAGCCGAUACGGGCAGACUAGAGUUCGGCAGGGGAGACUGGAAUUCCGGGUGUAGCGGUGAAAUGCGCAGAUAUCAGGAAGAACACCCGUGGCGAAGGCGGUUCUCUGGAACGCAACUGACGCCGAGACGCGAAAGCGUGGGGAGCAAACAGG